CGCCUCUUGAACACUAUAAGAGGUCCAGCCUGCCCAGUGACCUUGUUUAACGGCCGCGGUACCCUAACCGUGCGAAGGUAGCGUAAUCACUUGUUCUCUAAAUGCGGACUAGUAUGAACGGCAUCACGAGGGUUAUACUGUCUCCUCUUUCUAAUCAGUGAAACUAAUCUCCCCGUGAAGAGGCGGGGAUAAAACUAUAAGACGAGAAGACCCUAUGGAGCUUUAAACAAUAUAGCACUUGCCCUGUAAUAUAAAAUUUCCGAAUCUUAUUCCAAAGCAAUAUGACUAUAAGUUUUUGGUUGGGGUGACCGCGGAGCAAAAUUUAACCUCCGUGUUGAAAGAAUUAAGCUAAGAAUCACCCUUCUAAGCAUCAAUAUAUUGUCAUCAAUUGACCCAAUACACUUGAACAACGAACCAAGUUACCCUAGGGAUAACAGCGCAAUCCACUUCAAGAGCUCCUAUCGACAAGUGGGUUUACGACCUCGAUGUUGGAUCAGGGUCUCCCAGUGGUGCAGCCGCUAUUAAAGGUUCGUUUGUUCAACGAUUGAAACCCUACG
Molecule: ribosomal RNA, 557 nt
Filed under: Nectophrynoides sp. HCL-2014
Lineage: Eukaryota; Metazoa; Chordata; Amphibia; Anura; Bufonidae
Description: partial 16S ribosomal RNA
Rfam family: Bacterial large subunit ribosomal RNA
Source: RNAcentral